AGAGUUUGAUCCUGGCUCAGGAUGAACGCUGGCGGCGUGCUUAACACAUGCAAGUCGAACGAUGAAGCCCUUCGGGGUGGAUUAGUGGCGAACGGGUGAGUAACACGUGGGCAAUCUGCCCUUCACUCUGGGACAAGCCCUGGAAACGGGGUCUAAUACCGGAUAAUACCUGCCUGGGCAUCUGGGUGGGUUAAAAGCUCCGGCGGUGAAGGAUGAGCCCGCGGCCUAUCAGCUUGUUGGUGAGGUAGUGGCUCACCAAGGCGACGACGGGUAGCCGGCCUGAGAGGGCGACCGGCCACACUGGGACUGAGACACGGCCCAAACUCCUACGGGAGGCAGCAGUGGGGAAUAUUGCACAAUGGGCGAAAGCCUGAUGCAGCGACGCCGCGUGAGGGAUGACGGCCUUCGGGUUGUAAACCUCUUUCAGCAGGGAAGAAGCGAGAGUGACGGUACCUGCAGAAGAAGCGCCGGCUAACUACGUGCCAGCAGCCGCGGUAAUACGUAGGGCGCAAGCGUUGUCCGGAAUUAUUGGGCGUAAAGAGCUCGUAGGCGGCUUGUCACGUCGGGUGUGAAAGCCCGGGGCUUAACCCCGGGUCUGCAUUCGAUACGGGCUAGCUAGAGUGUGGUAGGGGAGAUCGGAAUUCCUGGUGUAGCGGUGAAAUGCGCAGAUAUCAGGAGGAACACCGGUGGCGAAGGCGGAUCUCUGGGCCAUUACUGACGCUGAGGAGCGAAAGCGUGGGGAGCGAACAGGAUUAGAUACCCUGGUAGUCCACGCCGUAAACGGUGGGAACUAGGUGUUGGCGACAUUCCACGUCGUCGGUGCCGCAGCUAACGCAUUAAGUUCCCCGCCUGGGGAGUACGGCCGCAAGGCUAAAACUCAAAGGAAUUGACGG
Molecule: ribosomal RNA, 893 nt
Filed under: Streptomyces sp. E2BS1_pA
Lineage: Bacteria; Bacillati; Actinomycetota; Actinomycetes; Kitasatosporales; Streptomycetaceae
Description: bacterial SSU rRNA
Rfam family: Bacterial small subunit ribosomal RNA
Source: RNAcentral